GGAAGGGGGACAGAAGGGUUUUCGGCAUGGAGGUAUGGGUUUAGGGAGACAGAGUAAGGGACAAGUAUGGGGUAGGCUGAUUUCACUGCUCUGCAAAUUUCCUGGUCGGACCAAAACUUCAGACCUGAAACCACCCCAACGAAUGUAAACAAAAAAACAGAGGAAAAUCCAGUAAUUAAUUUGUGUAUGGUUUUCCUUUUUUUCUUCUUCUUCUAUAUAUGGUAAAUACAAAACACUGAACAGUUGAUUGUGGUUGGUGGGUUGAUCUAGGUUUUGUUGAUUGCUGGAAUUUUGGUAGUAGUGCUCCAGAUUUACUUGCUCAUGGCCUUCUCGUUGCUUUACUGUGAAAAGAAAAGAUGGAUAAUUUAGUGCCAACUGUACUUAAUUCAAUGGAGAUUUGCUAGGUUUUUAAUACGAUUAGGUUAAUUGAA
Molecule: long non-coding RNA, 431 nt
Filed under: Malus domestica (apple)
Lineage: Eukaryota; Viridiplantae; Streptophyta; Magnoliopsida; Rosales; Rosaceae
Description: long non-coding RNA (MDOM_LNC014469)
Source: RNAcentral